This 237-nucleotide ribosomal RNA is filed under the name uncultured bacterium. RNAcentral describes it as "partial 16S ribosomal RNA". It matches the Rfam family "Bacterial small subunit ribosomal RNA", at positions 333 to 584 of the family's 1533-position model. The record is from RNAcentral.
CAAGUCCUACGAGGCGCAGCAGUGGGGAAUAUUGGACAAUGGGGGGAACCCUGAUCCAGCGACGCCGCGUGAGUGAAGAAGUAUUUCGGUAUGUAAAGCUCUAUCAGCAGGGAAGAAAGAAAUGACGGUACCUGACUAAGAAGCCCCGGCUAACUACGUGCCAGCAGCCGCGGUAAUACGUAGGGGGCAAGCGUUAUCCGGAUUUACUGGGUGUAAAGGGUGCGCAGGCGGUCCUGC